UUUCCGUAGGGUAUGUCACCUCCCGCCCCCCAUUUUGACGCCCUCGACGGCCUGCUAACGUGUUCACAGUGAACCUGCGGAAGGAUCAUUACCGAGUGGUGGGCUCUGCCCCCCUUACGACUCCCUGAUUAUCGCACCUGUUGCCUCGGCGGGUGCCCGCCUCAGCGCGGGCCCUGGGCCUCGCCGCCCGCCGGGCUCACUUUAGACCCUUUUGUGACCUGUCUGAGUGGAUAUUUGAGAAUGAAGCAAAACUUUCAACAAUGGAUCUCUUGGUUCUGGCAUCGAUGAAGAACGCAGC
This 298-nucleotide unclassified non-coding RNA is filed under the name uncultured fungus. Its description in RNAcentral is "sequence contains ITS1, 5.8S rRNA gene". The stretch from base 250 to 298 matches the Rfam family "5.8S ribosomal RNA", at positions 1 to 49 of the family's 154-position model. Lineage: Eukaryota; Fungi. The record is from RNAcentral.